This 484-nucleotide ribosomal RNA is filed under the name uncultured bacterium. RNAcentral describes it as "partial 16S ribosomal RNA". It matches the Rfam family "Bacterial small subunit ribosomal RNA", at positions 30 to 507 of the family's 1533-position model. The record is from RNAcentral.
AUUGAACGCUGGCGGCAGGCCUAACACAUGCAAGUCGAGCGGAGGAAGGGAGCUUGCUCCUGGAUUCAGCGGCGGACGGGUGAGUAAUGCCUAGGAAUCUGCCUGGUAGUGGGGGAUAACGUCCGGAAACGGGCGCUAAUACCGCAUACGUCCUGAGGGAGAAAGUGGGGGAUCUUCGGACCUCACGCUAUCAGAUGAGCCUAGGUCGGAUUAGCUAGUUGGUGGGGUAAAGGCCUACCAAAGCGACGAUCCGUAACUGGUCUGAGAGGAUGAUCAGUCACACUGGAACUGAGACACGGUCCAGACUCCUACGGGAGGCAGCAGUGGGGAAUAUUGGACAAUGGGCGAAAGCCUGAUCCAGCCAUGCCGCGUGUGUGAAGAAGGUCUUCGGAUUGUAAAGCACCUUAAGUUGGGAGGAAGGGCAGUAAGUUAAUACCUUGCUGUUUUGACGUUACCAACAGAAUAAGCACCGGCUAACUUCGUG